This 440-nucleotide ribosomal RNA is filed under the name uncultured bacterium. RNAcentral describes it as "partial 16S ribosomal RNA". It matches the Rfam family "Bacterial small subunit ribosomal RNA", at positions 338 to 795 of the family's 1533-position model. The record is from RNAcentral.
CCUACGGGCGGCAGCAGUGGGGAAUAUUGCACAAUGGGGGGAACCCUGAUGCAGCAACGCCGCGUGGGUGAAGAAGUACUCCGGUAUGGAAAGCCUUGUUUGCAGGGAAGAAAAUGACGGUACGUGACCAAGCAGCCCCGGCUCACUACGUGCCAGCAGCCGCCGUAAUGCGGAGGGGACAGGCGUUAUCCGGAUUUACUGGGUGUAAAGGGGGCGUUGACGGGAUGGCAAGUCUGGAGUGAAAGCGCGGGGCCCAACCGCGGGACUGCUUUGGAAACUGGGGUGCUGGAGUGGAGGAGGGGUAAGCGGAAUGCGUGGUGUAGCGGUGAAAUGCGUAGAUAUUAGGAGGAACACCGGUGGCGAAGGCGGCUUACUGGACUGUAACUGACGUUGAGGCUCGAAGGCGUGGGGAGCGAACAGGAUUAGAUACCCGAGUAGUC